This is a long non-coding RNA of Pectinophora gossypiella (pink bollworm), 1374 nucleotides long. RefSeq lists it as uncharacterized. The record is from RefSeq and is a predicted model, not a curated record. The transcript has 2 exons. Lineage: Eukaryota; Metazoa; Arthropoda; Insecta; Lepidoptera; Gelechiidae.
GCGAAAUAUUGAAAAUCUAAAUAUUAUGUUAACUGUAAACAACACGUGCGGCUAGCAAACAAACAACACCUGCACUUGUUUACGACACACGUGCAAGGUACGGUAGUGGGGACAACCCUUAUAAGACGGCGAGCCGCACGAGUUGUACCAUUCUUGUGUCGAACUCCGUACAGAGAACAUCCAAUAAAAGUAAUCCGUGACAGUGAGCCAUUGUUUAACUGGCGCUAUGCGUCCUCCACAAAGGUCACUGUUACCUUGGGAUCAGAGUAUAAUAUUCGUACUUUAACAUCAGAAGUAGAGGAUCGUCCUGCUGCCCACCCAUUAUAUUGAAAAAGACGGCCACAAAGGAUGAAACUAAGUUUCAAAUACUCGUAUUAUCCUAAUUUAUAUAAGAUAAUAAUCGUGGAUGGAGUCAGGUGUUUAAUUAAUUAAAACUAAGGCUAAACUUGGAAUUGGACCUGAAUAUAAAAAUUGGACCUGGACUUGAGCCGUGGCAUAUUCAUCACAAUGCCUAUGUACUGUCAGGAUCGAGGAUAAUGGUGCCUACCUACAUUUGAAUACUGUUGUUACGGUGAGUCGUUUUCAUACUGGAACUUUAUUGUUAUUGACUUCAUUGCUGGGUGUAUUUUAAUUUUUAAUAAUGGGGAAAUUGAUUUAAAAUUAACUUGGAAAGUGCUAUUUCUCUUUAUUUUAAAACAAAAUUGACGAGACAUAUUCCCGCAAUACGUGUCAAUCAUAAUUCAAACCGCGUUUUCAAAUCGGUUUUCAUCAUCGUCAAAUCUUGGUAUUUUGGUCUAAAAAUGUUUUGAAUUGGUGCAGACACGCUAACGCUGCGUGGUUUAAGCUGUAUUUUCUCACUCCAAGCAAUAAAUAAACUUUCGUUAAAUUACAACGUGAUUUGUAAUCUACCGUCAUUAAUUCAAAUCUUUAUAAACCGAUUGAAAGAGUCAUGUGAAUGUGAUAAUACUCCUAGUUAUUUUGUUUCAUGUGACCACUGCUACAUGAUGACGAGUGAAUGACAAACGGCGAAGGCGUUACAGCAUGGCACAGUCUGAGAGUGGCAGCCGUGCCGCGUGUGUGCCGUGUGGUGGUGACUUCGUGGCAGCGUAUUAAUAAACGCAAGCUCAGAGCACGAGCUGCGUAUCAGUAUGGCCGUGAUAGCGCGACAGCGAAAUAUUGAAAAUCUAAAUAUUAUGUUAACUGUAAACAACACGUGCGGCUAGCAAACAAACAACACCUGCACUUGUUUACGACACACGUGCAAGGUACGGUAGUGGGGACAACCCUUAUAAGACGGCGAGCCGCACGAGUUGUACCAUUCUUGUGUCGAACUCCGUACAGAGAACAUCCAAUAAAAGUAAUCCGUGACAGUGA